CCUACGGGAGGCAGCAGUGGGGAAUAUUGCACAAUGGGGGAAACCCUGAUGCAGCGACGCCGCGUGAGUGAAGAAGUAUUUCGGUAUGUAAAGCUCUAUCAGCAGGGAAGAAGAAAGACGGUACCUGACUCAGCAGCGCCGGCUAACUACGUGCCAGCAGCCGCGGUAAUUCGUAGGGGGCAAGCGAUAUCCGGAAUUACUGGGUGUAAAGGGAGCGUAGACGGUGAUGUAAUGCUGGAGGGAAAGGCGGGGGCCCAACCCCCGGACGGCUCUGGAAACUAUGGGACUGGAGUGCAGGAGAGGUGAGCGGAAUUCCUAGUGUAGCGGUGAAAUGCGUAGAUAUUAGGCGGAACACCAGUGGCGAAGGCGGCUCACUGGACUGUAACUGACGUUGAGGCGCGAAAGCGUGGGUAGCAAACAGGAUUAGAUACCCCUGUAGUC
RNAcentral lists this ribosomal RNA (441 nucleotides) under uncultured bacterium. RNAcentral describes it as "partial 16S ribosomal RNA". It matches the Rfam family "Bacterial small subunit ribosomal RNA", at positions 338 to 795 of the family's 1533-position model. The record is from RNAcentral.